AAGAGCAGCUUAAAAUUGCAAGUCCCAUAACAUGUCAAGAUCCACCCAGUCUUCCAUGUGAGUCAACUCAAGAAACACAUUGGGGCAAAAUCUAUACCUAGUCAAAAUCUUCCAGUCAAUGCAGAUGGUUCAAUUAAGACAGGCCCAGCUUGAGUUCUCCAAGUUAGACAAGUAUCUCGCAAAAACUUACCACUGGUACAGUGGCACAUUCAAUGGGAAAAUCUCUCACCUGAAGAAGCUACAUGGGAAGAUACCGAUUUCAUUAAACUUUUCCUGGAUUCUUCAAGACAACUAAACGGGCUUGGAAAGCAGCGAGUGAAUCGCCAUGAGGACAUGUCGAGGGCACUGUCAAGUUACUAA
RNAcentral lists this ribosomal RNA (360 nucleotides) under Triticum aestivum (bread wheat). RNAcentral's name for it is "partial small subunit ribosomal RNA". The record is from RNAcentral. Lineage: Eukaryota; Viridiplantae; Streptophyta; Magnoliopsida; Poales; Poaceae.